Molecule: ribosomal RNA, 650 nt
Filed under: Microascales sp. BFI10
Lineage: Eukaryota; Fungi; Ascomycota; Sordariomycetes; Microascales
Description: SSU rRNA
Rfam family: Eukaryotic small subunit ribosomal RNA
Source: RNAcentral
CCGUAAUGAUUAAUAGGGACAGUCGGGGGCAUCAGUAUUCAGUUGUCAGAGGUGAAAUUCUUGGAUCUACUGAAGACUAACUACUGCGAAAGCAUUUGCCAAGGAUGUUUUCAUUGAUAAGGAACGAAAGUUAGGGGAUCGAAGACGAUCAGAUACCGUCGUAGUCUUAACUAUAAACUAUGCCGACUAGGGAUCGGACGAUGUUAUUAUUUGACGCGUUCGGCACCUUUCGAGAAAUCAAAGUGCUUGGGCUCCAGGGGGAGUAUGGUCGCAAGGCUGAAACUUAAAGAAAUUGACGGAAGGGCACCACCAGGGGUGGAACCUGCGGCUUAAUUUGACUCAACACGGGGAAACUCACCAGGUCCAGACACAGUGAGGAUUGACAGAUUGAGAGCUCUUUCUUGAUUCUGUGGGUGGUGGUGCAUGGCCGUUCUUAGUUGGUGGAGUGAUUUGUCUGCUUAAUUGCGAUAACGAACGAGACCUUAACCUGCUAAAUAGCCCGUACUGCUUUGGCAGUUCGCCGGCUUCUUAGAGGGACUAUCGGCUCAAGCCGAUGGAAGUUUGAGGCAAUAACAGGUCUGUGAUGCCCUUAGAUGUCCUGGGCCGCACGCGCGUUACACUGACAGAGCCAGCGAGUACCUCCUUGACCG